This 506-nucleotide ribosomal RNA is filed under the name Niphargus hrabei. RNAcentral's name for it is "partial 16S ribosomal RNA". The stretch from base 355 to 506 matches the Rfam family "Archaeal large subunit ribosomal RNA", at positions 2542 to 2694 of the family's 2987-position model. Lineage: Eukaryota; Metazoa; Arthropoda; Malacostraca; Amphipoda; Niphargidae. The record is from RNAcentral.
UUUUUUAAGUUAAUUUAAAGUAAGGCCUGUCCAGUGAAAUUUAAACGGCUGCAGUAUUUUAACUGUACUAAGGUAGCAUAAUCAUUUGUUUUUUAAUUGAAAACUGGUAUGAAUGGUUUUACAAAUAAUUAAUAAUAAUAUAUUAUUAUAGUAAUUUUUAUUCUUAGUAAAAAUGCUUAGAUAUAAUAAAGGGACGAUAAGACCCUAAAAGCUUUUUUAUUAGUUUUAUUUUAGUUAGUAAGGUAAAUAAAUUUAGUUGGGGUAAUGUAAAUAUAAAUUUUAUUUUAUUUAUUUACAAUAAUAAUUGGUUAUUUGAUCUUUUUUAUAAGGAAAGAUAGUAUUAGUUACUUUAGGGAUAACAGCGUAAUAAUUUUAGAGAGGCCUUAUUAAUAAAAUUGAUUACGACCUCGAUGUUGAAUUAAAAUGUCUAUAUAUUGCAGAAGAUAUAUUAGAGGGUUUGUUCAACCUUUUAUUUUUUACAUGAUUUGAGUUCAAAUCGGUUUAAG